AUGGAGAUGAAACCCAAAAGAUUUUCGUUGGGGCGUAACCCUCUCAGCGACGCGCCACAUCGGAACCCGGGUGUGGUGGAAAAUGGGCAAGGGCCGGGCCGUCACCCCCCAGGUGGCGCGCCGUAUCUUGAUCCGGAUACGGUGGCAAGUAAGCGAGGAUCGGGUCGUCGCAUCCUUAGUGGCGCGCUACAUCGGCGCCCGGAUGUAGUGGAAAAUGAGCAAGGGUCUUCGCAUUUGACUCGACGAGUGCGAAGGGUAAGGAAGCUAGCCGAGCCUAGGAGGAUUCGCUUAGGUAGCUGGAACGUAGGGUCUCUGACAGGGAAGCUUCGGGAGCUAGUUGAUGCAGCGGUGAGGAGAGGUGUUGAUAUCCUUUGCGUCCAAGAAACCAAAUGGAGAGGACAGAAGGCGAAGGAGGUGGAGGAUGCCGGCUUCAAGCUAUGGUACACGGGGACGGCUACAAACAGAAAUGGCGUAGGCAUCUUGAUCAACAAGAGCCUCAAGUAUGGAGUGGUAGAUGUCAAGAGACGUGGGGACCGGAUUAUCCUGGUCAAGCUGGUAGUUGAGGACUUGGUUCUCAAUGUUAUCAGCGCGUAUGCCCUGCAAGUAGGCCACAAUGAGAACACCAAGAGGGAGUUCUGGGAAGGCCCGGAAGACAUGGUUAGGAGUGUACCGAUUGGUGAGAAGCUCUUCAUAGGAGGAGACCUCAAUGGCCACGUGGGUACAUCUAACACAGGUUUUGAAGGGGCGCAUGGGGGCUUUGGCUAUGGCAUCAGGAAUCAAGAAGGAGAAGAUGUCUUAAGCUUUGCUCUAGCCUACAACAUGAUUGUAGCCAACACCCUCUUUAGAAAGAGAGAAUCACAUCUGGUGACUUUUAGUAGUGGCCAACACUCUAGCCAGAUUGAUUUCAUCCUCUCGAGAAGGGAAGAUAGGCGUGCGUGCCUAGACUGUAAGGUGAUACCUGGAGAGUGUUCUACCCCAGCAUAA
RNAcentral lists this ribosomal RNA (984 nucleotides) under Triticum aestivum (bread wheat). RNAcentral's name for it is "partial small subunit ribosomal RNA". Lineage: Eukaryota; Viridiplantae; Streptophyta; Magnoliopsida; Poales; Poaceae. The record is from RNAcentral.